AUAGAGAACCGCAUGGUUCUCUAUUAAAAGAUGGUUUCGGCUAUCACUUACAGAUGAGCCCGCGGCGCAUUAGCUAGUUGGUGAGGUAAUGGCUCUCCAAGGCAACGAUGCGUAGCCGACCUGAGAGGGUGAUCGGCCACACUGGGACUGAGACACGGCCCAGACUCCUACGGGAGGCAGCAGUAGGGAAUCUUCCGCAAUGGACGAAAGUCUGACGGAGCAACGCCGCGUGAACGAUGAAGGCCUUCGGGUCGU
This 255-nucleotide ribosomal RNA is filed under the name Bacillus sp. (in: firmicutes). RNAcentral describes it as "Bacillus sp. (in: Bacteria) partial 16S ribosomal RNA". It matches the Rfam family "Bacterial small subunit ribosomal RNA", at positions 173 to 426 of the family's 1533-position model. The record is from RNAcentral. Lineage: Bacteria; Bacillati; Bacillota; Bacilli; Caryophanales; Bacillaceae.